This is a non-coding RNA of Pristionchus pacificus, 61 nucleotides long. The record is from Rfam. Lineage: Eukaryota; Metazoa; Nematoda; Chromadorea; Rhabditida; Neodiplogasteridae.
UCUUCAUUUCCCACACUCUCUCACCGGUCCGAGAGGCGAGAGAGUGUGCAAAAUGAAGAGA